Molecule: transfer RNA, 74 nt
Filed under: Chloroflexota bacterium
Lineage: Bacteria; Bacillati; Chloroflexota
Also listed under: 1 other name
Description: Chloroflexi bacterium (anaerobic digester metagenome) tRNA-Arg
Rfam family: tRNA
About the family: Transfer RNA (tRNA) molecules are approximately 80 nucleotides in length.
Source: RNAcentral
GCGCCCGUACCUCAAUUGGAUAGAGGACCGGUCUACGAAACCGACUGUUGUGGGUUCGAAUCCCGCCGGGCGCG